UACGGAGGGGGCAAGCGUUAUCCGGAAUUACUGGGUGUAAAGGGAGCGUAGACGGCACUGCAAGUCUGGAGUGAAAGCCCGAGGCCCAACCACGGGACUGCUCUGGAAACUGCGGGGCUGGAGUGCAGGAGGGGUAAGCGGAAUUCCUAGUGUAGCGGUGAAAUGCGUAGAUAUAAGGAAGAACACCAGUGGCGAAGGCGGAUUACUGGACGAUAACUGACGGUGAGGCGCGAAAGCGUGGGGAGCAAACAGG
Molecule: ribosomal RNA, 253 nt
Filed under: uncultured Eubacteriales bacterium
Lineage: Bacteria; Bacillati; Bacillota; Clostridia; Eubacteriales
Description: uncultured Clostridiales bacterium partial 16S ribosomal RNA
Rfam family: Bacterial small subunit ribosomal RNA
Source: RNAcentral